UACGUAGGGAGCAAGCGUUGUUCGGAUUUACUGGGCGUAAAGGGCGCGUAGGCGGCGCGGUAAGUCACUUGUGAAAUCUCUGAGCUUAACUCAGAACGGCCAAGUGAUACUGCAGUGCUAGAGUGUAGAAGGGGCAAUCGGAAUUCUUGGUGUAGCGGUGAAAUGCGUAGAUAUCAAGAGGAACACCUGAGGUGAAGACGGGUUGCUGGUCUAACACUGACGCUGAUGCGCGAAAGCCAGGGGAGCAAACGGG
Molecule: ribosomal RNA, 253 nt
Filed under: uncultured bacterium
Lineage: Bacteria
Description: partial 16S ribosomal RNA
Rfam family: Bacterial small subunit ribosomal RNA
Source: RNAcentral